Molecule: long non-coding RNA, 1703 nt
Organism: Gallus gallus (chicken)
Lineage: Eukaryota; Metazoa; Chordata; Aves; Galliformes; Phasianidae
Source: Ensembl
CCGCUGCCGCGCCGGGCGGGUGUCCCGCCGUGCACCCGCCGUCCCCGUGUCCUUCCGUGCACGCGUCCUUCCCGCUGUAAGGAGCGCUUUCUGAGUCGUGCCCCCUAUUUUGCGCAGCGCCCGCGCGCAGAGGAGCCCAUCCGUGUUUGCGGUCGAUACGAGAGUUGCAAGGAAGAAGGAUGCUAGCCCAGUUUUGCAGAUGGCAAACAGCCGCAGGGAGAUGAAGGUGGCCUGCCUGGGGCCGCCGGGAAUCUGUGUCAGAACGGAACAGCGCUCAGAUUUCAGCACAAAGCACUUUCCGGCUACGCACCCCUAUUCCCUUUAGUGCUAAUGCAAGCUACUGCUUGCUGCAGAGAUAUGUCAGGACUGAAAAGGAGGGAACUGGAGCAGCGUUGCAGGCGGUACAGUACAGCUUUCCAGGUACCCGCUUGGAACAGCCUGGCUGCGGUGACUGUGGUAGAUUCAGAAUCUCUAUAGGCAUCCGGAGCUCAGCAGCCACAGUGGGACUGAAAAUGCCUUGCUCUAGAAACACCGUGCAGCAGGGAGGGCAUCACUGCUGUUGUGGAGUGCGGAGCAUCUGUGCCACACAGUGGAGCAACUCUGUUUUUGUCAGGCAGAGGAGAACAGUAGCAAAUGCUCGUUAGGCGCUGCGUUGUGACUUCAGUGCUUUUCAGCAGUUUAUCGUGUAGCCAGUAUAGAUGCAGCUUAAUCGGCUUUGUUUCAAUAAGGAAGGACAAGGCGGUUGUCAAAGAGCUUCCAGGAUGAUCCAGGAAGAUGGCAAAGAGUGAGAGAAAGACGAGGGAAAGGCCUAGGGAGUCCCUGGGAGAAGCUAGAGAGCUGCAGGUUGGUGGUGAUUUCAUUUAGUACGAGAAAAGACUUUGAAUCUAUCUCAUCCUCCACGCUGAUGGAUGCGCACAAUGAGGAUGCAUUGAGUGGGCUAACUGCACCGGUGAACCAUAUUGACUUAUCUAAAUCUAAUUCAUCCAUCAUCAUCGUAGUCUGUAGGGGGCGGUUAUAAAGCUUGGUAAUUAGUUAUGUGAACAUCCUUUCUGCUGUCGGAAGAGCCUGGCUCGCUGCUGAUGGUGCUGACCAUGAACAGGAGUUGCAGCACAGCAGCUGUCAAACCACGGCUGCGCUUUUCAUGGCAACUCAUUAGCUGUGUUGCUGGGAGGACCCUGACCUAACUGUUGUGAGCCACACGUCUCUUCCCUGCCGGGGGCAGCCGCCGCACCGCUCGCAGGCACACAGAGCCUCACAACACAGCCUUCCCCUGUCAGUGGAAAGCUUGACGAACCAUUUUAAGACUAUCAAGAGGCACUGAGUCUAAGGCCUAAUUAUGAACAUAAAGUCCUAUGAGACCUGGUUGGUAGCCAGGCCUGAAACCCAACACACCACAAAGCUGGUGCGAUAGCCUGACAAAAGCCAAAAUCCUCCUUUGGGAUACUUCGGUCUUGGCUCCUUUUAUCCUUUCCUGUGCUCGACCUCUUGUUCUGUCGCUCCCUGCUUCUUGCUUUCCUCCUGCCCUUGGCACAAGCUGCCUGCCUGUGAGACACAGGCAAUGCCUCCCUCCUCCCGUGGGUGUCCGGCCCUUUUCUGCAGGCCCUGCCAGGCUUUUGCAAACAAACUGCCCGAAGCUGAGGAAACAACCUGACUGCUCAUAGCCCAGAGGCUCUGCUUCGUGCUGUCAUCUGCGACAGUCCCCC